RNAcentral lists this ribosomal RNA (383 nucleotides) under marine copepod environmental sample. Its description in RNAcentral is "partial small subunit ribosomal RNA". It matches the Rfam family "Eukaryotic small subunit ribosomal RNA", at positions 587 to 972 of the family's 1831-position model. The record is from RNAcentral. Lineage: Eukaryota; Metazoa; Arthropoda; Copepoda.
AGCUCCAAUAGCGUAUAUUAAAGAUUUUUUGGUUCCCACUCUCUUAGUUGGAUCUCCACAGCCUUUCCUCUUUUCCCUUUUUCUUUUUCCUUCUUUUUAUUCUGUGCUUUUGCUGGAGGUUUAGGGGUGCUCUUGAUCGAGUGUCUCUGGAUGCCAGCAGGUUUACUUUGAAAAAAUUAGAGUGCUCAAAGCAGGCUAAAAUGCCUGAAUAUUCGUGCAUGGAAUAAUAGAAUAGGAUGUCGAUCCUAUUUUGUUGGUUUUCGGGACUCGACAUAAUGAUAAAUAGGGACAGUCGGGGGCAUUUGUAUUCAAACGACAGAGGUGAAAUUCUUGGACCGUUUGAAGACAAACUACUGCGAAAGCAUUUGCCAAGAAUGUUUUCA